UGAUCCUGGCUCAGAUUGAACGCUGGCGGCAGGCCUAACACAUGCAAGUCGAGCGGUAGCGGGAAGAGCUUGCUCUUUGCCGACGAGCGGCGGACGGGUGCGUAACACGUAGGAAUCUGCCCGGUAGUGGGGGAUAGCCCGGAGAAAUCCGGAUUAAUACCGCAUACGCCCUAAGGGGGAAAGCAGGGGAUCUUCGGACCUUGCGCUAUCGGAUGAGCCUGCGUCGGAUUAGCUUGUUGGUGGGGUAAAGGCCUACCAAGGCGACGAUCCGUAGCUGGUCUGAGAGGAUGAUCAGCCACACUGGGACUGAGACACGGCCCAGACUCCUACGGGAGGCAGCAGAA
Molecule: ribosomal RNA, 344 nt
Filed under: uncultured Endozoicomonas sp.
Lineage: Bacteria; Pseudomonadati; Pseudomonadota; Gammaproteobacteria; Oceanospirillales; Endozoicomonadaceae
Description: bacterial SSU rRNA
Rfam family: Bacterial small subunit ribosomal RNA
Source: RNAcentral